UACGGAGGGUGCAAACGUUGCUCGGAAUCAUUGGGCGUAAAGCGCACGUAGGCGGCUCAGCAAGUCGGGUGUGAAAGCCCUCGGCUCAACCGAGGAAGUGCAUUCGAAACUACUGAGCUUGAAUACUGGAGAGGAUCGCGGAAUUCCCGGUGUAGAGGUGAAAUUCGUAGAUAUCGGGAGGAACACCAGUGGCGAAGGCGGCGAUCUGGGAAGAUACUGACGCUGAGGUGCGAAAGCGUGGGGAGCAAACAGG
This 253-nucleotide ribosomal RNA is filed under the name uncultured bacterium. RNAcentral describes it as "partial 16S ribosomal RNA". It matches the Rfam family "Bacterial small subunit ribosomal RNA", at positions 524 to 776 of the family's 1533-position model. The record is from RNAcentral.